GACGAACGCUGGCGGCGUGGAUUAGGCAUGCAAGUCGAACGGUAUCAUCCUUUCGGGGGUGAGAGAGUGGCGAACUGGUGAGUAACACGUAGGUUAUCUACCCUCAAGACGGGGACAACCCAGGGAAACUUGGGCUAAUACCGGAUGUGAGCAACUUUUAGUUGUUUGAAAGGUGGCGUAAGCUGUCGCUUGGGGAUGAGCCUGCGUCCUAUUAGUUAGUUGGUGAGGUAACGGCUCACCUAGGCAAUGAUAGGUAGGCGGCCUUAACGGGUGGUCGCCCACACUGGGAUUGAGAUACGGCCCAGACUCCUACGGGAGGCAGCAGUCGAGAAUAGUCUACAAUGGUCGGAAGACUGAUAGUGCGACGCCGCGUGAACGAUGAAUCCCUUCGGGGUGUAAAGUUCUUUUAUAUGUGAGCAGUGCUUCUUAUAUUAACAGUAUGGGGAGAGAGAUAUUAGCAUAUGAAUAAGCAACGGCUAACUCCGUGCCAGCAGCCGCGGUAAACACUA
Molecule: ribosomal RNA, 509 nt
Filed under: uncultured bacterium
Lineage: Bacteria
Description: bacterial SSU rRNA
Rfam family: Bacterial small subunit ribosomal RNA
Source: RNAcentral